CACUAUGAUGAGAGUAAUUUGCGAUUGAUACCGUCUAGGUGGCUCACUUUCGCCGGUGCGGCUAUACCUGUCGGCCAACUGAUAGUAUUUCUUACAUAUUCUGAAU
Molecule: small nucleolar RNA, 106 nt
Filed under: Podospora anserina S mat+
Lineage: Eukaryota; Fungi; Ascomycota; Sordariomycetes; Sordariales; Podosporaceae
Description: A. fumigatus snoRNA Afu_514
Rfam family: A. fumigatus snoRNA Afu_514
Source: Rfam by way of RNAcentral